GGUGGUAAUGCCGGAUGCUCCAGUUGACCGCAUGGUCCUCUGGGAAAGCUUUUGCGGUAUGGGAUGGGGUCGCGUCCUAUCAGCUUGAUGGCGGGGUAACGGCCCACCAUGGCUUCGACGGGUAGCCGGCCUGAGAGGGCGACCGGCCACAUUGGGACUGAGAUACGGCCCAGACUCCUACGGGAGGCAGCAGUGGGGAAUAUUGCACAAUGGGCGCAAGCCUGAUGCAGCGACGCCGCGUGCGGGAUGACGGCCUUCGGGUUGUAAACCGCUUUUGACUGGGAGCAAGCCCUUCGGGGUGAGUGUACCUUUCGAAUAAGCACCGGCUAACUACGUGCCAGCAGCCGCGGUAAUACGUAGGGUGCAAGCGUUAUCCGGAAUUAUUGGGCGUAAAGGGCUCGUAGGCGGUUCGUCGCGUCCGGUGUGAAAGUCCAUCGCUUAACGGUGGAUCCGCGCCGGGUACGGGCGGGCUUGAGUGCGGUAGGGGAGACUGGAAUUCCCGGUGUAACGGUGGAAUGUGUAGAUAUCGGGAAAGAACACCA
This 542-nucleotide ribosomal RNA is filed under the name Bifidobacterium adolescentis. RNAcentral's name for it is "partial 16S ribosomal RNA". It matches the Rfam family "Bacterial small subunit ribosomal RNA", at positions 159 to 711 of the family's 1533-position model. Lineage: Bacteria; Bacillati; Actinomycetota; Actinomycetes; Bifidobacteriales; Bifidobacteriaceae. The record is from RNAcentral.